UGAAAAGUAUAGCAUUAAUAAGGAUCUUCUAAGUCUUUUAUUGAGCGGUUUGAUUCCGUUCCUUUUCUU
RNAcentral lists this transfer RNA (69 nucleotides) under Tropidomya abbreviata. RNAcentral's name for it is "tRNA-Ser". The record is from RNAcentral. Lineage: Eukaryota; Metazoa; Mollusca; Bivalvia; Poromyidae.